UACGGAGGGGGCUAGCGUUAUUCGGAAUUAUUGGGCGUAAAGGGCGUGUAGGCGGCUCUGUGUGUCCGAUGUGAAAGCCCUCGGCUCAACCGGGGAACUGCAUGGGAAACUGCGGAGCUUGAGUCCGGGAGAGGUGAGUGGAAUUCCCAGUGUAGCGGUGAAAUGCGUAGAUAUUGGGAGGAACACCAGUGGCGAAGGCGGCUCACUGGACCGGUACUGACGCUGAGACGCGAAAGCCAGGGGAGCAAACGGG
This 253-nucleotide ribosomal RNA is filed under the name uncultured bacterium. RNAcentral describes it as "partial 16S ribosomal RNA". It matches the Rfam family "Bacterial small subunit ribosomal RNA", at positions 524 to 776 of the family's 1533-position model. The record is from RNAcentral.